Molecule: non-coding RNA, 563 nt
Organism: Camelina sativa (false flax)
Lineage: Eukaryota; Viridiplantae; Streptophyta; Magnoliopsida; Brassicales; Brassicaceae
Source: RefSeq, a predicted model, not a curated record
CUUCUCUUUACACUCCACCAAAAUCACCUCAGCGAGCCACAAAUACUUCUUUAUUUUUCAAUUUCGCCAGUUCACUCUUCUAAAACGUUUUUCAAGCUUCUACUUUUCUAUUUUUUCUAUUUGACCAAAAGGCCAAGAGAGAUCAGAAAGCUCACGGCUAAACUUCAAGUCUGUGCUGGUCAACCUCAAGCUCAAUGUCCUUAACUGGAUAGAUACAUAUCUUGGUAUCAUAGGAAAAUUGCAGAUACAUAUAUGCAAGACCAGACUUAUAUAAUACGUAUGGCCUAUAGAUUUGUAACAUAUAAAAAGCAAAAAAAAAAAAUGGGAGCGAGUAAAAAGUGUUAUUUUUGAUGAUAUGAUGAUGAUUGAUGAUAAUAUUUUUGAUGAUGCCUGAUGGUAUGAUAAUGUGAUUGUAUUGUUGUUAAAUGGACGAAAUACAGUAGUAAUAUUUUAUUUUUGUUGGUUUCAACUUUUAAAAAAGAAAAAAGAAAAGAAAUGAUGGGUUAAAUGGUUAAUCAUUAACUUAUUAUCACCUAACUAAAUUGACACAUUGACCCAUUAGU